This 289-nucleotide small RNA is filed under the name Rhizobium aethiopicum. RNAcentral's name for it is "5' ureB small RNA". It matches the Rfam family "5' ureB small RNA". Lineage: Bacteria; Pseudomonadati; Pseudomonadota; Alphaproteobacteria; Hyphomicrobiales; Rhizobiaceae. The record is from RNAcentral.
CUUCCUCGAUCUGCUGCGGCGCGAUGAAGUGGAUAUGGCUGUCCAUGCCGCCGGCAGUAACGAUUUUGCCUUCGGCGGCGAUCGCCUCCGUGCCCGGCCCGACGAUGAUAUUCACACCGGGCUGCAUAUCGGGAUUGCCCGCCUUGCCGAUCGCGACGAUGCGGCCGUCCUUAAGGCCGAUAUCGGCCUUGUAGAUGCCGGAGUGAUCGACGAUCACCGCAUUGGUGAUGACGGUAUCGACCGCGCCGUCCGCCCGCGUCACCUGGCUCUGGCCCAUGCCGUCACGGAU